CGCGUAGGCGGCUUGUUAAGUCGGAUGUGAAAGCCCCGGGCUCAACCUGGGAAUUGCAUUCGAUACUGGCUAGCUAGAGUGUGGUAGAGGGAAGUGGAAUUCCAGGUGUAGCGGUGAAAUGCGUAGAUAUCUGGAGGAACAUCAGUGGCGAAGGCGACUUCCUGGACCAACACUGACGCUGAGGUGCGAAAGCGUGGGGAGCAAACA
RNAcentral lists this ribosomal RNA (207 nucleotides) under uncultured bacterium. RNAcentral's name for it is "partial 16S ribosomal RNA". It matches the Rfam family "Bacterial small subunit ribosomal RNA", at positions 568 to 774 of the family's 1533-position model. The record is from RNAcentral.